UAGAUGAGUUGCAUUAAGGUAAAGGGU
RNAcentral lists this small RNA (27 nucleotides) under Bombyx mori (domestic silkworm). RNAcentral's name for it is "ovarian small RNA-22131". Lineage: Eukaryota; Metazoa; Arthropoda; Insecta; Lepidoptera; Bombycidae. The record is from RNAcentral.